AUGUUCUCAUUUAUUCCUGUAGAGAGUGAGAAUGAUGUAGGGCCCUUCACCCAUAUCCCAGACCAUGGAGCACCAGGAGACAUGACAUCAGUGAACAGUGAAUCUACUGUUGGUGCCAUGGUAUUCUCUACUGAGACUUCAGGGUCACUGAAGAAAGUGAGUGGAUCUGACCAGGGAAGAGAACCAACAGACUCCACCAGUAUCCCAAUGACUGGCUUCACUGGAAGAGAUUCCAUUACAGACACUGAAACAGACAUACGUGCCAUGGAGACAACUCCAAGAGCCACAGUCACUCAAGCCCCACUUCUCACUGCGCCCACUGAAGCAGGUGACCCCAUCCCUGGGAUGCACAAGAGAACUGUGUCCUCUCAUACUUCACCCUUAGCUCCAAGUGAGAUAUCCUCUGGAGUCACCAUGGCCAUUGCGAGGCCCUCACUCUACAUGACUCCAGUAGAACCCACAGCUAGCCCUGGCUCCAGUAGUCCCUUAAACAUCAGCCUAUCUGGGACAAUGUUUUCUACACCCCUUGCAGACACACCUAUAGCUGAAAUAACUCUUGGAGAGAGUUCCAGCACCCCCCCCCCUUCUCUAUGGUCCACUCCAGUUGAUUCUUUCAAUAUUGCUGUCUCGGUCCCAGGAAAUGAAAUCACCUCCAUUGUGCCUCUAUAUUCACUUCCAACAGCCUCAAGUGCCACAGAAACCACACCAAAUCCUGAUUUGUCAAUGAGACCUACCACACUAGAGCCAGGCUUAGCUGCCCUAACUUCCACUGCUCCCAGCAUCUUUCCAACACCGUCUGGAGAAGACACAAACACCUCAUUGGUGUCUAUAGAAGGACCAACUGAAGAUAAAACAGUGUCCAGCACCUUCCCAGCAAAUGCAGACACCCCUGGUAUCACUCACAGGGAGCACUUCUUCACAGGUCCUGGAAUAACUUUUCAACCUGACAUGGCCUCUACUUCUCUGCCCAAUUUAAGUGAAGGGACCAGUUACUCCAAAACUGUCCCCUCACCCCCUUUAGAGAGUAGGAAAAGCACUGCCAUGGUUGGAGUCCAGAUAAGCCUAGCUGAACUUCUCACUCCAGAGUCCAAGAAGCCCACCCCUGCUGAGGGUUCACUCUCUGUUGGACCAGUGACUGAAUUUAGCAGCAGGGAAAGUGUACAUUUACAGAAUAGCUUGGCCCCCAGCAUCACCCCAGAAUGGGAGACCAGUAGACCAGGCAGGACUACAGAGUCAGAUAUCAGCACACUCAUCCCUGGCAAUUUUCAUCCUUCUGAGGGCACUGCUGACCUCAUAUCAAGCCCAGUGGAAGACUCCAGCCCAAAGCCAGCUGUCUAUACCUCUCCACCCCACACCUCAGGUACUACAGGGACCAGGAUUAGAGACGAGACAGACUCAUCCUUGGUGUUGACUACACCAGCACCUGCUGUCGCUAUCAGCAGCAUCUCUGGGGCUCUCCUUGGUACAAGAACAGUGGUUCCAUGGUCUUUGAAUUCAGCUGAAGCUACAGAUCUUACCAUGAAUCGCCUUGAUCCUAUAUCCAUGUUGCCAUCCAAAUUCUCCACUUCUUCUCCUGUAACAUUUUCAGGGGUUACUUACAAGACUGAAAACAAGAGCUCCAAUGUUCCUGGGACUGACAGCAUAAGUAUCAUCUUCAGCAGCAAGGUCACAGACAGGGUCUCUCUCCAUCCUGAGAUCAUUCCUAACCAAAAUCUACUGGGCACAAUGGAAGAGAGCACAGGUGCUUUGCUGACCCCUUCUUUGCCUGGACCUCCUGGGUCUUCAGCUGCUACUAUGGGAGGUGUAUCAAACAUGUCAGGUACCAAUACUGGCUCAACUCCACAGGUGACUUUAGCUUAUGAAAUCUUAACUAGAGACUUAGAGAAGACCUCAGACUUCCCACUGGCCACAGAAAUUACAGCUAAGACUGUCCCAGCCAAGAUGAUGGGUGACAUCUCCUUUGCUUUCACAAACCAUAUCCCAGAAGGUCAAGUGAGCUCAGCAUUUCUUCUUACCACCAUCAGCAGCCCCAUGGCUCUCCCUGGAGAAAACAUAGUUCCUCUUUCGUCAACCAUAGCUGAAGCUGAGGAUGUCACUAUCACUGGGACAGAUAGCACUCCUACAUGGCAAAGCACACACUCUUCUUCAACUACUAUAACAUCAUCUAAGGAUACCCCCAUGACCAAGAACACGAGAUCAGCUUCCCCCAGGACUGACUCCAUGCAUCUAAUUUCCAGCACAAAGAUCACAGACAUUGUUCCCUUUUCCCCUGUGGUCACUCUUAGCCAUAAGUUUCCACGAUCAGUGGUAAAGAGUAACACAGAUGCCCCAUUGACCACUCCUAAAUCUCCAGUGGUCUCAGACACUCAUCCUGGAGGCUCAUUGGUCACCUCUGCUGACUCAGCUGUCCUGGGGACGACAGCUCAUGGUGAGCCACAUGAUAUCUUAGAAAAAGGCUCAACACUUUCCCUGACCACUUUAACCACAGAGAUCACAAAAAGUACUAUUCCAUUUCCUACAAAUCUAGAAGAAAUUCUAAAAUGUUCUAAGACUAUGACUCCCAGAAACACAGGCCCUUCCUCCCUGUGGCUAACAGUGACCACAGUGAGUCCUUUUCAUAUUGAAUUGGGUUUAGGUCUAGAUACUAUUUCCCAGACUGAGCUGUCUGAAAUUCAAGGUCCACUAAUCAUCACUGAAUUAUCCCAGAAGAGUGAUGCAGGAUUCCCAUUGUCUUCUUCUGCAACUGAGGCAACUAGAGCAAGGGCCAUAACAUCUUCCACUCUCAUCUCAGGAUUGGGGGAGAGCCAGUCUUCCAUAGGCAGCAUUUCAGGAACAGAGGCCAUCAGAGACUCUCCCACCUUGUUCUCUCCUUUAGAAAGCACCAGGACACAUGCCACCAGACCUGAGUAUGCAUUGCGCACUGAACAAGCACUGUCCACUCUGCCAACAAAGAAAUUACUUAAAAUGGUCACCAGCUCACUUACUUUUGUUUCCAAAAUGCAUUCUAAAGUCACUGCUUUGGCACCAAGGACAAAUGCCCAAGGGUUUGAAAGUCACAGCAUGUCUACCCUGGAGGCCAAUGAUGCCCUAGCAGUAGGCACUGGCCCUGCUAUGACCUUUAACUCUCCACUACCAAGCAUCACUGCUUCUAGCAGCAUGGAUGUAGAUGUGGAAACUGUGUCAACAUUAGCUCCCUGGACAGCCAGAUCCUCAUCACAAGUAGAAGCCAGUUCUCCCAAUCUGGUUGUCACCACAGGAGAUGGACCCUCCCUGGGAACAGAACCUCACAAUCCCAUCCACGAAUCUCUGAGCCCAGGACCAGGAUCCUUUCCUGCCUUAAGUACUCCCACAGCCUGCACAAGAACAGCUUCCCUUGAGGCUGCUACUUUAUUGGAGGACCCAGAGCCAGCCGGCCUGAAUCCAGAGACUGAGAGAAACCCACAGGCAACACCAACUCCAGCUAUCACCCUGUCUCCAGCCAGCACACUGGAAGUUUGCACAACAGCAUCUCCCAGUCCUCCUGACACAACCACAGAGGGCAGCAGUGUCCAGGCAGGCACAGCCUAUGUUUCUGAUCAAGUGCCUUCCACUUCCUGCCUCUUCCCCAGUAAGCAUAUUUUAAAUAAGCUUCCCAGGGAGGGAAUUGGGGUGUGGCCUUGGAAGAAAUGGGGAGUGUCUGUCCAAGGAGCGUCAGUUUGUGUCUUUCUAAGGAGAAGGGUCUUCCUCCCAGGUCCUUCCUCUCUAUAGCCUUCCAAUGGGCCACUGUAGGAAUUUUCCUUAGUGCCAUAUCUGUUGAAUUAGUGUCAUCUCUCCAGACUUCCUCAUCUCCAUGCAAAGGAUAGUUUCACAGUCCCUGUGCUUAAGUGAUUCUCCUCUUCUUAUUGAUGGGAUUCUGAUUCUACUAAAUCAAACAUAUAUGGAGGUUGUCCAUCAGUGAGUCCAUGCUUUGAAGGGGAAAAGUUGGUUAGUUAUCCUGUGGAGAAAAGUCAGAGAAGCCAUGUAUUUUUGGUCUCAGCAGAUAGUAGCAACAAUGUACUUUCCUUUGGGAGUCCUCUAAUAAUGACUUGACUGAGCUCUGGGUUCUCCCCUCCUGUCUUCCUGUGGGUGGUGAUGCUGGUGUGGUGCCAGUCACACAUGCCCAAGGCCAUGGAGCCAGGAAGCACAGUAGCACCAAUAAGGAGCCCCCUGACCCCUGUGUCUACUAUUAUGCCCACAGGUAAGUAGGUACCUCCUCUCUGUCUCUGUGUUGGAGGUUUACCCUUUUUAGGGCCUUGUUUCCCCGUCUUACAGAGGAAACAUGAAAUUAUUUUAGAGAUCAAUCCUCAAGAACUCUUCUGAACCUCUGAUUGCUUUCUAUGUACAGCCUGGAGACGAGGAGUUUUAGAGGUAGGAAUGAGGUUCCCACUGCUAAGGUCUUUUAUACAAUCAAUAAUAGGCACAAAGGUGUAAGGAAACUUUGAAGUGUCAGGUAUUAUGGAUAGCCUCUCUUAUUACAGAUGUGGAUACUGAGGUUUAGAGAAGUAAAGUAGUAAUUAGCUCAGGGUAAUUGGAUAUGACAGGAAGGGAUCCUCAAUGGUCACCUAACUGAACCCCAUCAUUUUACAUAUGGGAAAACUUAGGCCCAGAGAAGUUAAGUGGCAUAUGCCCAAUGCACAAAAUUAGAAAGCAUCAGAUGUGGGAUUUGAACCCAGGACCUCUGAUUCUAGAGUCAUUGUUCUUUCCACUCUAUUAUGCUGUAUGUUCAAUGGCCAAUAGAGAGUUCAGACUUAGCACCUCACAUUAAAUGGCUACGGCUCUUUCCACUUUGAGGAACUUUCCUUUUGGGAAACUUCUCCAAGGGCAGGAAAUAUGUUUUUAAAUUUUUAUUUACAUUCUCAUUAUUUAGGUUAAGGCUAGGCACAUAAUAAAAACAUUUAUUUAAUGGUGAUUGAUUGAUUG
This 4938-nucleotide long non-coding RNA is filed under the name Monodelphis domestica (gray short-tailed opossum). RNAcentral describes it as "lncRNA (ENSMODG00000027496.2)". Lineage: Eukaryota; Metazoa; Chordata; Mammalia; Didelphimorphia; Didelphidae. The record is from RNAcentral.